RNAcentral lists this transfer RNA (75 nucleotides) under Peptococcaceae bacterium. Its description in RNAcentral is "tRNA-Val". It matches the Rfam family "tRNA". From Rfam's summary of the family: Transfer RNA (tRNA) molecules are approximately 80 nucleotides in length. Their secondary structure includes four short double-helical elements and three loops (D, anti-codon, and T loops). RNAcentral also lists the same sequence under 2 other names. The record is from RNAcentral. Lineage: Bacteria; Bacillati; Bacillota; Clostridia; Eubacteriales; Peptococcaceae.
GGUGGCUUAGCUCAGCGGGAGAGCGCCUGCCUUACAAGCAGGAUGUCGUAGGUUCAAUCCCUACAGCCACCACCA